AAAUUGAAGAGUUUGAUCAUGGCUCAGAUUGAACGCUGGCGGCAGGCCUAACACAUGCAAGUCGAGCGGUAGCACAGAGAGCUUGCUCUCGGGUGACGAGCGGCGGACGGGUGAGUAAUGUCUGGGAAACUGCCUGAUGGAGGGGGAUAACUACUGGAAACGGUAGCUAAUACCGCAUAAUGUCGCAAGACCAAAGUGGGGGACCUUCGGGCCUCAUGCCAUCAGAUGUGCCCAGAUGGGAUUAGCUAGUAGGUGGGGUAACGGCUCACCUAGGCGACGAUCCCUAGCUGGUCUGAGAGGAUGACCAGCCACACUGGAACUGAGACACGGUCCAGACUCCUACGGGAGGCAGCAGUGGGGAAUAUUGCACAAUGGGCGCAAGCCUGAUGCAGCCAUGCCGCGUGUGUGAAGAAGGCCUUCGGGUUGUAAAGCACUUUCAGCGGGGAGGAAGGCGAUAAGGUUAAUAACCUCAUCGAUUGACGUUACCCGCAGAAGAAGCACCGGCUAACUCCGUGCCAGCAGCCGCGGUAAUACGGAGGGUGCAAGCGUUAAUCGGAAUUACUGGGCGUAAAGCGCACGCAGGCGGUCUGUCAAGUCGGAUGUGAAAUCCCCGGGCUCAACCUGGGAACUGCAUUCGAAACUGGCAGGCUAGAGUCUUGUAGAGGGGGGUAGAAUUCCAGGUGUAGCGGUGAAAUGCGUAGAGAUCUGGAGGAAUACCGGUGGCGAAGGCGGCCCCCUGGACAAAGACUGACGCUCAGGUGCGAAAGCGUGGGGAGCAAACAGGAUUAGAUACCCUGGUAGUCCACGCCGUAAACGAUGUCGAUUUGGAGGUUGUGCCCUUGAGGCGUGGCUUCCGGAGCUAACGCGUUAAAUCGACCGCCUGGGGAGUACGGCCGCAAGGUUAAAACUCAAAUGAAUUGACGGGGGCCCGCACAAGCGGUGGAGCAUGUGGUUUAAUUCGAUGCAACGCGAAGAACCUUACCUGGUCUUGACAUCCACAGAACUUAGCAGAGAUGCUUUGGUGCCUUCGGGAACUGUGAGACAGGUGCUGCAUGGCUGUCGUCAGCUCGUGUUGUGAAAUGUUGGGUUAAGUCCCGCAACGAGCGCAACCCUUAUCCUUUGUUGCCAGCGGUCCGGCCGGGAACUCAAAGGAGACUGCCAGUGAUAAACUGGAGGAAGGUGGGGAUGACGUCAAGUCAUCAUGGCCCUUACGACCAGGGCUACACACGUGCUACAAUGGCAUAUACAAAGAGAAGCGACCUCGCGAGAGCAAGCGGACCUCAUAAAGUAUGUCGUAGUCCGGAUUGGAGUCUGCAACUCGACUCCAUGAAGUCGGAAUCGCUAGUAAUCGUAGAUCAGAAUGCUACGGUGAAUACGUUCCCGGGCCUUGUACACACCGCCCGUCACACCAUGGGAGUGGGUUGCAAAAGAAGUAGGUAGCUUAACCUUCGGGAGGGCGCUUACCACUUUGUGAUUCAUGACUGGGGUGAAGUCGUAACAAGGUAACCGUAGGGGAACCUGCGGUUGGAUCACCUCCUUA
RNAcentral lists this ribosomal RNA (1540 nucleotides) under Klebsiella pneumoniae. Its description in RNAcentral is "bacterial SSU rRNA". It matches the Rfam family "Bacterial small subunit ribosomal RNA". Lineage: Bacteria; Pseudomonadati; Pseudomonadota; Gammaproteobacteria; Enterobacterales; Enterobacteriaceae. The record is from RNAcentral. RNAcentral also lists the same sequence under 1 other name.